GUAUCAGAAUGACGCGGUGAAUACGUUCCCGGGCCUUGUACACACCGCCCGUCACACCAUGGGAGUGGGUUGCUCCAGAAGUAGAUAGUCUAACCCUCGGGAGGACGUUUACCACGGAGUGAUUCAUGACUGGGGUGAAGUCGUAACAAGGUAGCCCUAGGGGAACCUGGGGCUGGAUCACCUCCUUAUACGA
RNAcentral lists this ribosomal RNA (193 nucleotides) under Pseudoalteromonas sp. FUC4. Its description in RNAcentral is "partial 16S ribosomal RNA". It matches the Rfam family "Bacterial small subunit ribosomal RNA", at positions 1346 to 1533 of the family's 1533-position model. The record is from RNAcentral. Lineage: Bacteria; Pseudomonadati; Pseudomonadota; Gammaproteobacteria; Alteromonadales; Pseudoalteromonadaceae.